RNAcentral lists this ribosomal RNA (547 nucleotides) under Achaetomiella virescens. RNAcentral describes it as "eukaryotic LSU rRNA". It matches the Rfam family "Eukaryotic large subunit ribosomal RNA", at positions 61 to 632 of the family's 3401-position model. The record is from RNAcentral. Lineage: Eukaryota; Fungi; Ascomycota; Sordariomycetes; Sordariales; Chaetomiaceae.
GAAACCAACAGGGAUUGCCCUAGUAACGGCGAGUGAAGCGGCAACAGCCUCAAAUUUGAAAUCUGGCUUCGGCCCGAGUUGUAAUUUGCAGAGGAAGCUUUAGGCGCGGCACCUUCUGAGUCCCCUGGAACGGGGCGCCACAGAGGGUGAGAGCCCCGUAUAGUUGGAUGCCUAGCCUGUGUAAAGCUCCUUCGACGAGUCGAGUAGUUUGGGAAUGCUGCUCAAAAUGGGAGGUAAAUUUCUUCUAAAGCUAAAUACCGGCCAGAGACCGAUAGCGCACAAGUAGAGUGAUCGAAAGAUGAAAAGCACUUUGAAAAGAGGGUUAAAUAGCACGUGAAAUUGUUGAAAGGGAAGCGCUUGUGACCAGACUUGCGCCAGGCUGAUCAUCCGGUGUUCUCACCGGUGCACUCUGCCCGGCGCAGGCCAGCAUCGGUUCUCGCGGGGGGAUAAAGGCCCCGGGAACGUAGCUCCUCCGGGAGUGUUAUAGCCCGGGGCGUAAUGCCCUCGCGGGGACCGAGGACCGCGCAUCUUGCAAGGAUGCUGGCGU